Molecule: long non-coding RNA, 731 nt
Filed under: Homo sapiens (human)
Lineage: Eukaryota; Metazoa; Chordata; Mammalia; Primates; Hominidae
Description: HSALNT0197563
Source: RNAcentral
GGAGGAUCUGGCAGGAGCCCUCUGCUCCUCAUUUGGGCGCCCUCAGGGACGCACGCCCAGGGGUGUUCUGGGAAAUUUAGCAGGGAAGGCCCAGUUCCUCAUGGACGUGAGACCUUCCCACCCAGCGUCUCCCCGAACACGGCCGGUAGUGUUCAGCCUUUCACCACUCCUUCUCUGCCACUCGACUUCUUGCCAGCUGGUGUCCAGUUACAUUUUGGCAAAGGUGGUCACCGGGCAGACCUGGAGAGAGGGAAGACAUGGAAGCCCUCUCUGCCCUCUGCAGUGGCAUCGUGAGACGUGGUCUCUGAAUAACAGAAGAUCUUCUUCAGAAACCUCAAGCUCCGAUGAUGCCUUCAGACCCAUGAAGAUGGAGUGUGAAAUUCCAUGAAUAUCGAGUCUAUUUUCUGGACCCCAGAGCUGUGCGUCUUCCUCUCUGUCGGGCUCAUUCUGAAGCACAGUCCCAGCAUCCAUAUGGCAGAUGCAGCAUCCACGUGGCAGAUGCUUCCUGGACACUCUUAACAGCAUCCACAUGGCAGACGCUUCCUGGACACUCUUAACAGUCACAGGACACUUGGGCUAGUCAGGACACAGAGGACACAGCAGGCUGCAGCUGCAGAGCUUGAAAAGAUUUAUUUUAAAAGCCCAAGGGGAUAAAUACAGCAUCUCUCACAUUACUCCAUACUUAAAAAUAUUUGGAUUAAUUAUAUUAAAAAUUUGCAUUCAAAAGCGUU